Quercus robur (English oak) is the source of this 1209-nucleotide long non-coding RNA. RefSeq lists it as uncharacterized. The record is from RefSeq and is a predicted model, not a curated record. The transcript is spliced from 4 exons. NCBI's taxonomy places the organism in Eukaryota, Viridiplantae, Streptophyta, Magnoliopsida, Fagales, Fagaceae.
CUCUCACAGCAUUAAAACUUGGUCUAUGAGUAUAAAUACAAAACUAACCGAGUAAAUUACAUUCAAAAGGCUUGCCCAUAUACGGAGAAAGAGAGAGAACAGAGUUGUUCGUUGGAUUAAUAGGCUAGGAUAGAGGUAGAGUUCAUAAGGCCUCAAGAGAAAGAGAGAAAUAUCCAAGGCCGGCCAUUGUCCAUCCCCUAGCCAGACUUAGACCAUCGAAAUAGCAAGCACAUAAAGAAACCGUUAGGUCAUAUAUCAACCACCCAAAUCGUCGAAAUCGGCACUGGCAAAUUUUUUUCUUUUUCCAUUUUUUAGAUUUAGGUAUGAAAUGUUACUUUUAAUUGAGUUUUUUUUGUUGGAUAGGUUUAGAUUUGAUUCGUUUUUGUUUUGGGUUUUAGGGUUUUCUAUCAAAAUGUUUGUAGAUAUUUCUCUUCCUCGGCAACAGUAUUAGCCCAGAGCAUCAGACAUUUGAGAAUCAUUUUAACUUUAUUUAGUUUUAUUGAUCCACUAAUGUUGAUAAUUGCUUUAGUUUGAGUGUUGUUGGUUUCUAAUCCAUUAAUAUAUCAAUUGGAGAUGGGUGGAGAAGACAGUCGCAUGGUGGAGGGUUCUUAGAACAAAAAAGACGAUCCCUAGAGAUUCCUCGAAUUCUACAAUGAUACAAAGAAGUGUGGAAUAUCAAUUUCUUUUUGGUUGCAAACUAUGCAGCAUCUUUCAAGCAGUUUCCAUAAUUAUUAAGAAGUUGUGAUGUGGGAGAUUUCAAGAAAUGUGGUGAAGCAUUUAACUCAAUACAUCUAUGAUCAACUACUCAACUAAUCAAGACAUUUUUAUUGCUAUUGGACACAAUUUGCAUGAUCGCGUCUAUGAUUCGUAUUGGGUGGUAUUUCUCAUCUAUUAGAUCCAAAUAAAUGUAACUUUAAAGUUUAGUUUUUGCUUUUGUUUAUACUUGGUUCUUUUUUUUUAUAUAUAAGUUUUGUAUCAUCCGUUUUAGUGAAGUAGGGAGUAGAAAAGAUAUUUGUGAUCUACAGUUGAUUCAAGGGUUCAACCCAAUGCGAUUUUGACUAAUGUCAGAGGCUAAGGUGCAUACUGCAUAGGCAUGUGCGCAAAAAUGAGUUUUUUUUUUUUUUUUUAAUGUAUGUAUGGACAUAAUAUUGGGACAAAUUGUGGUUUCAAUUGCAAUCUUAAAUAAAUAUUUUCUAUUUUUAUUGCACC